GUGCCCGCUUUGGCAGCACAUUCACUAAAACUGGAACAAUAGAGAGAAAUUAGCGCGGGCCCUGUGCAAGGACGACAUGCAAAUUCAUGAAGUGUUCCUUAUUUUU
Cavia porcellus (domestic guinea pig) is the source of this 106-nucleotide small nuclear RNA. The record is from Ensembl. Lineage: Eukaryota; Metazoa; Chordata; Mammalia; Rodentia; Caviidae.